Molecule: ribosomal RNA, 391 nt
Filed under: uncultured bacterium
Lineage: Bacteria
Description: partial 16S ribosomal RNA
Rfam family: Bacterial small subunit ribosomal RNA
Source: RNAcentral
AUACGGAAGGUCCGGGCGUUAUCCGGAUUUAUUGGGUUUAAAGGGAGCGUAGGCGGGAGGCUAAGCGUGCUGUGAAAUCCGGCGGCUCAACCGUCGCGAGCAGCGCGAACUGGCUUUCUUGAGUGCGCGGGAGGCCGGCGGAAUUCGUGGUGUAGCGGUGAAAUGCUUAGAUAUCACGAAGAACCCCGAUUGCGAAGGCAGGCUGCCGUAGCGUUACUGACGCUGAAGCUCGAAGGUGCGGGUAUCGAACAGGAUUAGAUACCCUGGUAGUCCGCACGGUAAACGAUGGAUGCCCGCUGUCCGCUAUUUAAGUGGGUGGCCAAGCGAAAGCGUUAAGCAUCCCACCUGGGGAGUACGCCGGCAACGGUGAAACUCAAAGGAAUUGACGGGG